GGAGUUAUGGCGUAGUGGUUAUCGCGUCUGUCUUACAGCAGAUUGUUGCAGUUUCACAGAAGGUCGUCAGUUCGACCCUGACUAAUUUCA
Non-coding RNA from Roridomyces roridus, 90 nucleotides. Lineage: Eukaryota; Fungi; Basidiomycota; Agaricomycetes; Agaricales; Mycenaceae. The record is from the annotation of a GenBank genome assembly.